GAGGGAGGCUCGCAGCAGUGAAAACUGCUAAUUUUCAUAACCCCGGUUAAACCCCAGGGCUCACUCG
Molecule: transfer RNA, 67 nt
Filed under: Mugil cephalus (flathead mullet)
Lineage: Eukaryota; Metazoa; Chordata; Actinopteri; Mugiliformes; Mugilidae
Description: tRNA-Ser (AGY)
Source: RNAcentral